Ochotona princeps (American pika) is the source of this 107-nucleotide small nuclear RNA. The record is from RefSeq and is a predicted model, not a curated record. NCBI's taxonomy places the organism in Eukaryota, Metazoa, Chordata, Mammalia, Lagomorpha, Ochotonidae.
GUGCUCACUUUGGCAGCACAUAUACUAAAAUUAGAAUGAUACGGAGAAGAUUAGCAUGGUCCUUAUGCAAGGAUGACACGUGAAUUCGUGACACAUUCCAUAUUUUU